Molecule: unclassified non-coding RNA, 235 nt
Filed under: Hevea brasiliensis (rubber tree)
Lineage: Eukaryota; Viridiplantae; Streptophyta; Magnoliopsida; Malpighiales; Euphorbiaceae
Source: RNAcentral
CUCCCUUUCAUUAUAUCCCUCUUCUCCUAGGGUUCUUCUCUUUCAAACAGCAUCACAUAUCUAUCAACCUUCAUCUCUCCUCUUUCUUCCACUUAACUUCCAAGAAAAUUUACUCAUCUCUGAUUCUGUCAUAUACCAAUUUUUUUUUUGUUCAAUCAACAACCAAUCAUGCCUUUGCCAUGGAAGAAGGCCAAAGUUUCAAGAAUUUCUCGUAUUGUUGCGGAUCUCCAGCCAC